UACGAAGGGGGCAAGCGUUGUUCGGAGUUACUGGGCGUAAAGGGCGCGUAGGCGGCUCUUCAAGUCAGAUGUGAAAGCCCCGGGCUUAACCUGGGAACUGCAUUUGGGACUGGAGGGCUUGAGAUCGGGAGAGGUGAGUGGAAUUCCCAGUGUAGAGGUGAAAUUCGUAGAUAUUGGGAAGAACACCGGUGGCGAAGGCGGCUCACUGGACCGAUUCUGACGCUGAGGCGCGAAAGCGUGGGGAGCAAACAGG
Molecule: ribosomal RNA, 253 nt
Filed under: uncultured bacterium
Lineage: Bacteria
Description: partial 16S ribosomal RNA
Rfam family: Bacterial small subunit ribosomal RNA
Source: RNAcentral